RNA transcript from Cebus imitator (Panamanian white-faced capuchin), 1101 nucleotides. RefSeq lists it as uncharacterized. The transcript is spliced from 4 exons. NCBI's taxonomy places the organism in Eukaryota, Metazoa, Chordata, Mammalia, Primates, Cebidae. The record is from RefSeq and is a predicted model, not a curated record.
CUUGGCCUGGCCAGAGUCACUAAAUGGCCUCUUUGGGACUUCGCAGCGCCGUCCAGCCCCUCCUCCGUCCUUUGUCCUGCGACUCUGCAGGCGGGCUUUGCCCGGCCAAGUCAGGCGGCGCGAGGCGCUCUGCGGGCCCUGGGUGCUACUUGUUGCAUUUCUGUAGAAAACUGUUUCUCUUGGUGCGCGUCGGGGGGCAAGGGGAGGGAGCAAGAACCGGCGCUUUUUGUUUGCAGCAGAGUCCGGAGAGCUGGAUUCCCUGGCGCGGAUUCUCCCCGCCGAGUGGAUUCCCCUGCUGCAGGCGGGAGCCCUUCCAAGAGCUUCUCUGGGCGCGGCUUGGCAGCGGAGCCCCGGCGGCUCGGCCCCCGCAGCUAGCACCUCCUCGCUCGCGGUCCCGGAUGGGGAGCGCGGCCCCGGUGCAACAGCUCGGGGAGCACGCGGGCUGCGUCCGGAAGGGACCCGAGUCUGCGAGCAAAGAGCAAACCGGGCGGAAAUUCGUUCUUCCCACACUCUGCCCGCGGGGACGCAGGCGGAGAAAGAGGAGACAGCGGAGGGAGGACAGACCCCGGCAGGGGGAGGAGGAAACGCUAAGUGGCUCCACGUCUGGUCAGCCCGAGCCCGGGAUGCCAAGUGAGAAAAGUGCCACCCUGUGGGAAGUUUGGGCAGCACGGAGGCCGCCAGCGUUCUGCAGGAAGUUUGGAGAGCACAAGGUUGCCUGCAGAAGGCCGUAAGAUUAGAAGGGAUUUCAGCAGGCAGCUGAUGUAAUCGUACUUGCACUGCAACCUCAAGAGGAAUCUCUGCCUAAAUAAAGUAGGCGGAAGUAUACCAUGUACUCUUCUCUACCUUGAUAUUUUUUACUUGAGUCAUUUUGGAGGUGCUUCCAUAUCAGCACAUGUACAUCACCUCAUCUUCAAUGCUGUGUAGUAUUCCAAGUAUGGAUUCAACCACUGCUAUCAAUAUACAUUUAAAUGUUUUUCCUGGUUUUUACAAUCUUAUAAUUAAGUGAUGUUGUCAUAAAUAACAUGUAGAUAUGUCUUUGCAUUUCAGCGCUAGUAUAUCUGUAGAAUAGAAUAUCAGAAAUAAAAAUGCUAUUCCAAAGAA